GGUACAUCAAACUUGUGGGCUCAUUUGAAAGUUUGUGUUAAGUAUGCAUAUGCAAUCAGUCAUGAUUCUAGCCAAACAGUCCUUGCAUUUACCCCUGGUAUGACUGGUGAGUUGACAGCUGCAAGCCUUAGAUAUGAUGCGGAAACAUGUAGGAAAGCUGUGGCCAUGUUUGUCAUCUUAGAUGAACACCCUUUUAGUGUAGUUGAGGGUAUUGGUUUCAAAUUACUCAUUAACAAAAUUCAGCCCCAAAUGACUGUCCCUUCUAGAUUUACUGUGACUAGGGAUUGUUACCAACUCUACCUUGAUGAAAAAGUGAGGUUGAGAACUGGUUGAAGCCUUCUCUUUACCAAUUCAAAGAUCAAGACCUUGAUGAGGAGUGGGAGCUUAAUGAUGAGAUUGUGGCAGGUAUUGUUGUUUUGUUCUCUUUUAUUAUGUGUUAUACUAUUGUUUUUUUUUUAUAAAUUUUAAUCUAUUCUUUCACUUCCUUUUCAUAUGACCAAAAAUUACAAGCAGCAGCAAGUUCUAUGACCCCAGGUGGAUCAGCUUCAGCAGCUGGAACAUCCUCUCAGCCAAUGAAUAUUGGCUGAAAGCGCAACUUAAAAGUGUACAAUUUCCCUUGAACUUUUUAAUCUUUCCUUUAAGUACUCAAGUUAGCCAAUUCUGAUGUGCUUAUUUAUUUUAUGUAUCUGUUACAGGUGCCUGACUUUUUUGGAGUCAUUUGCAGGUCAAAUGACUCACUAUAAUAUUAUAUAAUAUAUGUAGGUUAUUUUGCAAGCAUUGUAGAAGGUUGUAAUGAACCUGUUUUUUGGGAGGUUGAAUCACCUAUGUUGAACAUGAUUUUUUUGGUGGGGCAGCAGCAAGGACUCUUAAGGAUGUGCACUAAAUUAAUCACAACAUGUUGCUUUUUGAAAGACUUGUUGGGACACUUGGAUAGAGGAUGAAUCUGAUUGCUGAUGAGAUGAUAAAGAAGCUUAUGAAGGACAUGGAAAACAUUUCUUCAUUCCUUGUUGGG
This is a long non-coding RNA of Lotus japonicus, 1012 nucleotides long. RefSeq lists it as uncharacterized. The transcript is spliced from 3 exons. NCBI's taxonomy places the organism in Eukaryota, Viridiplantae, Streptophyta, Magnoliopsida, Fabales, Fabaceae. The record is from RefSeq and is a predicted model, not a curated record.